Small nucleolar RNA from Tachyglossus aculeatus (Australian echidna), 137 nucleotides. The record is from RefSeq and is a predicted model, not a curated record. NCBI's taxonomy places the organism in Eukaryota, Metazoa, Chordata, Mammalia, Monotremata, Tachyglossidae.
CCCCUCUCAGGAUCGCACCUGGAGAGUUUCCAGUACUCUACCAGUCUCAGCUAUGAGGGAGAUUCAAGCAGAGGCAUACCCAUUCAAUUCCUCAGCUUGGCCAGUGGCUAGUGAGUGGAAGGCAAUCUGCUACAAGU